Cucurbita maxima (winter squash) is the source of this 89-nucleotide long non-coding RNA. RefSeq lists it as uncharacterized. The record is from RefSeq and is a predicted model, not a curated record. Lineage: Eukaryota; Viridiplantae; Streptophyta; Magnoliopsida; Cucurbitales; Cucurbitaceae. The transcript has 3 exons.
UGAAACAAUGUUAAACGAACACGGCUCUCCACAAUGGUAUGAUAUUGUCUCUUCGAGCAUAAGCUCUUGUGGUUUUGCUUUGUGUUUCC